Molecule: ribosomal RNA, 301 nt
Filed under: uncultured bacterium
Lineage: Bacteria
Description: partial 16S ribosomal RNA
Rfam family: Bacterial small subunit ribosomal RNA
Source: RNAcentral
CCGCCACGGUAAUACGAAGGGGGCUAGCGUUGUUCGGAAUUACUGGGCGUAAAGCGCACGUAGGCGGAUAUUUAAGUCAGGGGUGAAAUCCCGCAGCUCAACUGCGGAACUGCCUUUGAUACUGGGUAUCUUGAGUAUGGAAGAGGUUAGUGGAAUUGCGAGUGUAGAGGUGAAAUUCGUAGAUAUUCGCAGGAACACCAGUGGCGAAGGCGGCUAACUGGUCCAUAACUGACGCUGAGGUGCGAAAGCGUGGGGAGCAAACAGGAUUAGAUACCCCCGUAGUCCCUGUCUCUUAUACACA